UUUAAGUAGUCGUAAAUACACUAUUCUUAUUUUAAAUAAACAAUAUACAAUUUUAUCAAAAUACAUUAAUUGCAAUUUAAAGGCCAUUGCACCUGCAUGACACUGUGUUGUUUCCGUCUUAUACUCUGACGACAUAACAUAUUUUUGUUCGCUAAUUUCAAUAGGGUGCUGCCAGUUUUCAUAUUAGAGAAAAUUGGCUUAUUAUCAAACUUUUAAUAACAAUAUUAUCUGUGUUCUCUCGUUGGAUUUUUACGAUAUUUUAAUUUUUAAGUGAAUUAUGAGUAGGCAAUACAAUAAUAUUUGAAAAUGCCCAUAAUGCUAAUAUUUAUUUCUAACUCGGUAGUCGGUAGGUACUCACUACUUGCAAGUAAGAAUCGUGUAAUAGUCAACAAUAACAUUAGCAAUACAUAACCCAUUAAAAUUUAAUGUUUGCAAAAACUCAAAUUUAAGGUGUUUGAUAUAGGCAAUUUGAAUGAUGUUUGAGAAGUAUUAAAAAUUUAAAUAUUAAAUUUAUAUACUUUAAAACAACCCUAUUUAGAGUAUAUUAAAAUUGGUGCCGUGUCAAAUAAAAAAAUAAAUGAUAACCACUCUAAUGGCAUUGAUGACGACUUUCAAAAUAUAUUGACUGUAUUACAUAAUAUUAAAUAUUUAUUUGUUUAUAUUUUCUGUUAAAUUUUUAUUUUAGAUUACCAAUUACUUAUACAAUUAUCAUCCAAGAUUAGAAUAUUAUUAUUUUGGAAUGGACGUAUUUAACUUGAAUAUACAACAAAGUCGCGAUCUCGGUAUUCCAAGCUACACGCAAUUUGGAAAAUAUUGUGGACUAAAAAGUAAAAAAUAUAGAUAUUGAACAAGAUUUGUUGAGAUCAUAAAGCCAGUUAAUUCAAUUAAUAAAUUGAAGCAGUACACAACUUGGAACGAUGUAUAGAGCUAUUGACACGAAGAUGACACAACGGUUAGCCCAACGAUAAGGUGUAUCAUUAGAGAACAGUUUAUAAGAACUAGAAUAAUUUUCUGAUAGAUAUCUUCUAUUUAUUAUUUCUAUGAUUUACCAAAAGUAUUCAUCGAAUCUAAAGGUAUUUGUGAAUUUGACAUUGAUAUAUAAUUUUUAAUUCUAUAGAAAUGUUAUUCAUAAAAAAUAAUAUAAUAUACCGUUAACAUUUCCUUAAUGGAAUUGUUCUUUUCAUAAAGUGUAUAUCCAAACUUCAUGAAACAAUCCAUAUCAAGGAUAAUACAUUUUUUACACAAUAUGGAUGAAUACUUUUGUGGAAUGGAUAGUUCUGUACAUUUUACAUGGAUAACAUUUUAUUAAAUAAAUAUUUUUUGGCAUUAUGAAAAUUGUUUAACCUAUUCAUCACUAUUACAAAAUACCAUAACUGCAUAA
Acyrthosiphon pisum (pea aphid) is the source of this 1381-nucleotide long non-coding RNA. RefSeq lists it as uncharacterized. The transcript is spliced from 2 exons. The record is from RefSeq and is a predicted model, not a curated record. Lineage: Eukaryota; Metazoa; Arthropoda; Insecta; Hemiptera; Aphididae.